RNAcentral lists this ribosomal RNA (253 nucleotides) under uncultured bacterium. RNAcentral's name for it is "partial 16S ribosomal RNA". It matches the Rfam family "Bacterial small subunit ribosomal RNA", at positions 524 to 776 of the family's 1533-position model. The record is from RNAcentral.
UACGUAGGGUGCGAGCGUUAAUCGGAAUUACUGGGCGUAAAGCGUGCGCAGGCGGUUCGUUAUGUCCGAUGUGAAAGCCCCGAGCUCAACUUGGGAAUGGCAUUGGAAACUGGCGGGCUGGAGUGUGGCAGAGGGGGGUGGAAUUCCACGUGUAGCAGUGAAAUGCGUAGAGAUGUGGAGGAACAUCGAUGGCGAAGGCAGCCCCCUGGGCCAACACUGACGCUCAGGCACGAAAGCGUGGGGAGCAAACAGG